RNAcentral lists this unclassified non-coding RNA (329 nucleotides) under soil metagenome. RNAcentral's name for it is "partial contains 5.8S ribosomal RNA, internal transcribed spacer 2, and large subunit ribosomal RNA". The stretch from base 1 to 120 matches the Rfam family "5.8S ribosomal RNA", at positions 35 to 154 of the family's 154-position model. The record is from RNAcentral.
GAUGAAGAACGCAGCGAAAUGCGAUAAGUAAUGUGAAUUGCAGAAUUCAGUGAAUCAUCGAAUCUUUGAACGCACAUUGCGCCCCUUGGUAUUCCGAGGGGCAUGCCUGUUCGAGCGUCAUUAUAACCCCUCAAGCUCAGCUUGGUGUUGGGGUCUGCUGCACUGGCAGCCCUUAAAAUCAGUGGCGGCGCCAUCUGGCUCUAAGCGUAGUAAUUCUUCUCGCUAUGGAGUCCUGGUGGAUGCUUGCCAUCAACCCCCAAUUUUUCUAUGGUUGACCUCGGAUCAGGUAGGGAUACCCGCUGAACUUAAGCAUAUCAAUAAGCGGAGGA